This is a non-coding RNA of Drosophila melanogaster (fruit fly), 539 nucleotides long. The record is from Ensembl. NCBI's taxonomy places the organism in Eukaryota, Metazoa, Arthropoda, Insecta, Diptera, Drosophilidae.
AGUCACAGUCGUUGACGUACUCGGCCAAGAUCGUAUGGCUAUUGCCGAUGAUCGCGACAGCAACAGAUCGCUGUCUUUGGAUUCCAAUCCGGCCGAUGCCCAAUUCGAUUCCGAUGAAGCUUCCGCCAUUGCGAAGGUCGCCCCCGCCGAAAAAUGUUGUCAUGCCCGACGCGUGCCCGAAUCUCAUUUUGGAGGUGCUCUAUGUGACGAAGCCUAUUUAAAUUGCUAAAUAAUUUUGGCAAUUCGAGGAAGAUUCUACGCAGCGCGUGUUACGUUAACCAGCCCAGCGAUUGAACUGAUUUCAAGGCGUGUCCAGCAGAUAACAAAGUAAUCAAUCGGAAGACAGUCGACACCACAUUUUAAGAGCCUACAACACCACGUUUUAACACUGUUUUAAAACACAAUACUUCCUUGCCAAGAACAAAGUAGAGAUAGGGCUUGUCAUAUGCACAAGUGUAGUUUGAUGUUUUAUGCAUAAUCAACUAAAUAUAAUGUUCGCAAUAACAUUUAAUGUUAAGCCACUUUAAUAGUUUUUUUUU